Non-coding RNA from Paramuricea clavata, 290 nucleotides. Lineage: Eukaryota; Metazoa; Cnidaria; Anthozoa; Malacalcyonacea; Plexauridae. The record is from the annotation of a GenBank genome assembly.
GCCCUGACUGCCUAUCGUUUCCUUGAAACCAAUAUCACGAUUGGCUGAUUGAGCGCAGCUCACUGAUAGAGCGCUCUUCGCAUGCGUAAAGACUGGCACUAGUUUUCAUUGCCUUCAACUUUUGCUUUCAAAUUUCCGGUUGGAGGUAACCACUGCAGAACAUUGGCAAUGACCACCGAUCCGAUGGGUUUCAGACAGCUCAGCCAUUAUGGACAGCUCUGACAGCCAUUAUGGGAGGUGUGACAAGUCCUUAUUGGAUCGGAUGAAUCAGAAAUUAUUAAAUCAGAAAC